This 20-nucleotide microRNA is filed under the name anatid alphaherpesvirus 1. RNAcentral's name for it is "dev-miR-D19-5p". Its record names the gene dev-miR-D19-5p. The record is from miRBase by way of RNAcentral. Lineage: Duplodnaviria; Heunggongvirae; Peploviricota; Herviviricetes; Herpesvirales; Orthoherpesviridae.
GAUGAAAGAGCGGUGCCUUU